RNAcentral lists this unclassified non-coding RNA (260 nucleotides) under Glomus sp. RNAcentral describes it as "partial contains 5.8S ribosomal RNA and internal transcribed spacer 2". The stretch from base 1 to 65 matches the Rfam family "5.8S ribosomal RNA", at positions 84 to 154 of the family's 154-position model. Lineage: Eukaryota; Fungi; Glomeromycota; Glomeromycetes; Glomerales; Glomeraceae. The record is from RNAcentral.
GUGAAUCAUCAAAUUUUUGAACGCAAAUUGCACUCUCUUCGGAGAGUAUGCCUGUUUGAGGGUCAGCCUAAAAAAAAUGAACAUAGUGGCUGUUAGGCGGUGACAUUCGUCGGAAAUUGGGUCAUGUUAAAACUUUGGGUUUAAGCGGCUUAAAAUGUUGUUUACGAUUACAAGAACGUUUCUAAGAUUUUAUUUUAUUAUACGUUUAAGGUAUCGAUCUUUAUUAGACGUGGCAGUUGAAUCGGAUCUCGUCCAUAAAU